This 283-nucleotide long non-coding RNA is filed under the name Mytilus galloprovincialis (Mediterranean mussel). The record is from RNAcentral. Lineage: Eukaryota; Metazoa; Mollusca; Bivalvia; Mytilida; Mytilidae.
UUUUCCACAAUGUUCUAUUUUUAGACAUGGCGGCCAUCUUGAUUUUUUGGGCGGGGUCAUCGGAUACCUUUUUUAAACUACAUACCCUAAGGAUGAUUAUGGCCAUAUUUGCUUUAAUUUUGCCAUUAGUUUCAGAUUUUCUGAAAGUUAUCGACGACGACGGAUGCCAAGUGAUGAAAAAAGCUCACUUAACCCUCUGGUCCAGGUGAGCUAAAAAGGCAAAACGGACAAAAAGCAAAUGACAAAAAGCAAAAGUGUCGGACAAAAAGCAAAAUUAUCGGAC